This 423-nucleotide ribosomal RNA is filed under the name bacterium A3M_VP7_D9. RNAcentral's name for it is "bacterial SSU rRNA". It matches the Rfam family "Bacterial small subunit ribosomal RNA", at positions 337 to 752 of the family's 1533-position model. The record is from RNAcentral.
UAAUACGGGAGGCAGCAGUGGGGAAUAUUGCACAAUGGGCGCAAGCCUGAUGCAGCCAUGCCGCGUGUAUGAAGAAGGCCUUCGGGUUGUAAAGUACUUUCAGCAGUGAGGAAGGUGGGUAUGUUAAUAGCAUACUCAUUUGACGUUAGCUGCAGAAGAAGCACCGGCUAACUCCGUGCCAGCAGCCGCGGUAAUACGGAGGGUGCGAGCGUUAAUCGGAAUUACUGGGCGUAAAGCGCAUGCAGGUGGAUGAUUAAGUCAGAUGUGAAAGCCCGGGGCUCAACCUCGGAAUAGCAUUUGAAACUGGUCAUCUAGAGUACUGUAGAGGGGGGUAGAAUUUCAGGUGUAGCGGUGAAAUGCGUAGAGAUCUGAAGGAAUACCGGUGGCGAAGGCGGCCCCCUGGACAGAUACUGACACUCAGAU